Molecule: long non-coding RNA, 643 nt
Organism: Nomascus leucogenys (northern white-cheeked gibbon)
Lineage: Eukaryota; Metazoa; Chordata; Mammalia; Primates; Hylobatidae
Exons: 3
Source: RefSeq, a predicted model, not a curated record
AGAGCUGGAAAGGGCUCGCAGAGAUGAUAUAAUGUCGUGGAUUUCAACUUUUCAGGGCCAUAGACACUUUUCAGAAAUUGAUAAAACGUUGACACAUCUCGUAAAAAAUGAACACAUUAAAAUUAUGCCUGCAGUUUGAGGUAAUGGAGAAGCACUGGAGAUUUGUAAGCCAGGGAGUCAAAUGGUGGACUGGGAUUUUCAGGAGAUCAUUUAGAGAGCAAGAUCUCACCAAAUCCUUUAGUCAUGGUCUAUUUCAUUGCACUCACAUGGGUGUUACUGCGAAGGUGAAGAACUAAUGACUGCAGCAGGAAAAAGAAUUGGAUGUGUCAUGAAUUAUGGCCCUGCUUAUACUUCUACUUCAACCAUAAUCAUUUGUUUAAACAAAAAGUUCUGCAUUUGAAUUGUCACAAUUGUGUGUGCGUUAUAAACAUCUCAUAUUUCAUCCAGGCUCGGCCAAUACUUGCCUUUGUUAACACUCAUAAUCAAGAAAUAAAAUCUCAUACUGACCAAAAAUUAUCCUUCAUAAGAGAAUAUAAACAGAAGUCUGAUUCAUAAACUUACUAAUUAACACCUCUACUCUCAUUUAUUAUCUAACAUUUUUGUUUCAUCUUAAAAUAAAUAAAACUUUAUGACAUGCUAAUAA